This 469-nucleotide ribosomal RNA is filed under the name Catellotrachia setigera. Its description in RNAcentral is "Semotrachia setigera partial 12S ribosomal RNA". The record is from RNAcentral. Lineage: Eukaryota; Metazoa; Mollusca; Gastropoda; Stylommatophora; Camaenidae.
GUCAAACUUCCGCAUAUUAAAUGAUACUCGGCAAAUAAACAGCCUUCAAUAAUGCGGUGAAAUGUAUAUUUAACUAACCUGCUGAUAUAUUUUUAAAACGUUGAUCGUAAACAAGGAUUAGAUACCCUUCUAUACAACGCUUAUAUUAUUUGUUAGGUACUACAACCAUCAAGGUUAAAAACUAAGUAACAUGGCGGUAAUUUCUAUUCAGGGGAACUUACCGAUUUACUGAUAGCCACCAUGGUAAAUUAAUUUUAUGAAAUUCUUGUAUGCCGUCGUCGUCAGGUAAAACUUAAUGUUUUACCAUAAAAGUGUUACUUAAAAGACAGAUCCAGGUGCAGACAAUCAUAAAAUCUCGGCGAGUUACAAUUGAUUCCAAGCAGUUAAACUCCUUAAAAUAGUUUAUAAGUAGGACUUGACAGUAAUUGUUAUUAUAUAUACUAUAUGGACAUUGAGAAAUUGUGCACAA